RNAcentral lists this long non-coding RNA (221 nucleotides) under Physcomitrium patens. RNAcentral describes it as "long non-coding RNA (PPAT_LNC000734)". The record is from RNAcentral. Lineage: Eukaryota; Viridiplantae; Streptophyta; Bryopsida; Funariales; Funariaceae.
AGCUCAAGAAUAACAAAAAAUCAAUGCAAAUGUCUAUUGAAAGGAAAAACCACCAUUUCACAUGGGUGACAAGAUAAGAUUACUUUGUCACAAUAUUAAGACUACUCGUCUUUAUGAUAAGUUGGACUAUUAUAGGCUUGGACUAUUUCUUAUUUUUAUACAAAUCAAUCCAAUUGCAUAUCGUUUAUACCUACCAAAGUCAAUAAAAAUCUAUCUAGUAU